UUCCCUGUGCUCAAACCUGAAGCUUUCCAUGUUGUCAUAGCUGAACCGGUUCAAUCAUCGCCAGUGAACUGUCAGUGAGUUGGAGAACAUAUCUACUAUCACUUGGAAUCUGAAGAAUCCUUUGCGUGACAGCGCCUAGUAUAAGUGCGUUUCAAAAGAACAAACGCUCCCUCUGGUGAUAUGGGUGUAAAAAUGCUGCAGUGCUUUCCUUUCUACAGACGCUGCAAGGAGAGGUGCAAAAGACAGUGUCCUCCUGAGACGGCAGUAGCAAGUGAAGAGGUGAAACCUCGGCUGUGUUCCACUACCUCCUGGGGCAGCGAAGGGGACAGCGGCAGCAGUCUGAGUUGCCCACAGGCCUAUUUUUCCCACAAGGCUCGGCUCUCACUGAGACACCAGAUGGAUAGCAACAUCAAUGCAGUGGAUGCCACAUACUAACUAUGUCUGCAGGCGGUCUCUGGAGAAUCCUCGAAAGUAAACUUCAGAUUUACAGCCCCAGUCCAGUUUAAGUCCCUUAUUGGAGAUUGAGCCAUUAAGAACAAGAAACAUGGAAGUUUGCCUCUUCUUGCACGCCUAUAGACACUCAUGAGCGUCAGCUGUAUGCAUUGUAAUAACAAUGUCAAGAUAAGUGUCUGAAUUCCGGUACAGCAAUGAGUGUAAAAUGGUACAGCUGAGUGUAAUUUGGUGAAAGGGAUAAUUUAAAACACUCUUAAGAGUGAUGUUUACAUGAUAACCAGUAAGUGCUUUUUUUCUAGCCUGUAGCAUUUUUCCUCCACAGCUUCUGCUAUACAUGCAUCUACAUUAUCUCUACUGGAUGCUGGUUUUAUCUGAGGAGACGCUGACAUCUUAAUGCAAUUGAGUUUUUGAACCAGAUAUAAAUUCGUUCAGGAUUUUUGAUGAAUAGCAGUGUACCUAAUAAAAUCAACCGCGCUUUGCCUUGCUGGUCAUAAAUUCAGUGUGUACUGUGAAGCAACAGAAUGUUUUUUUUUUCUUCACAUUAACAGAAAGGAAGAUUUAAAAGCUUAUUUUGCUGUCUAUGUAAGUGCCAUUUUCUCUGCCUUGCAGCUGCAUCAGUGUCCAUUAACAGAGUGUCCAAAACACCAACUUUAAUUUCAUUUUUUAUUAUGUAUAGAUUUCAGGGCUUUUUAAAAUAUGCCCUGACCAUUAACCAAUUCUGCUUGAGGGAUGUUUUUGGAACAAUUCUAAAAAAGAUGGUUGUUUCAUGGACUUAAUGUAAGUCAAAAUUUUACCAACUAAUAUAUUAAUAUGAAGAUGGCCCAGUUUCUUCUUAUUGCAUGUAUAAAACUAGUCAAAAGAAUGGAGAUGUUUGUCAUGAUCCACUCAUUGCUUCUGUUACGACAUGUUUGAAAAAACAGGAUUUACAUGCUAAUGAUGUGUAUCUGGACUUCUUCACUUUGUUGGGUGCACAUGUAUUAACAUUUGUUUUUUAAAUGUUAAAAGUGGAUUUUUACACUCUAACCCAGUAAAAAAACAGAAUUCACAAGACACUGUUACACCUUUGAAGUCACAAUAUGAAAGAGAAGAUAUUUUUGGUAUGUUUUGUAUGCAAUGUGUAAAUCAAUUUUAUAUAAAAAAAAUGUAACAAGUAAAAAUACAGCAAACUAAAUUAUAGUAGAAUUAAAAGAGCACGUCUUGUUGCUUUCACUGAUGAUUGUAAAAAAUAAAAAUAAUAAAAAAUGUUCUUCAAAAAGAAA
Long non-coding RNA from Cyprinus carpio (common carp), 1712 nucleotides. RefSeq lists it as uncharacterized. NCBI's taxonomy places the organism in Eukaryota, Metazoa, Chordata, Actinopteri, Cypriniformes, Cyprinidae. The record is from RefSeq and is a predicted model, not a curated record.